CAGUUUUGAAUGUCAAUUGUCAAAUGUGCAAAAGAUUGGUUAGGUUAGCCAAAUUUUUAAAACGAAGUUAAAAUAAAUAAACAAAUAAUAACAAUAAUGAAUAUCCUCGACACGGUGUUGUGCACAUCGAAAGCUGAAAAAUAUUCAAGCAAUUUUAAACAAUUCAGCAUUGAUGCAUUCACUCUCAAAUUGUUCAAUGAAGAAGAUUUAAAAAUCUUGGGUAUUGAGGAGGAAGAAAUUCGAUUAGCUGUUUUACAACAUGCUAAUAAUUUACAAAUACCUGCAGAAAAACAUACAGAGGUUUUGAUAGAUGAAAAAUACGUACAAUUAGUUUUAGCCCAAAUGUCUAUGCAUUUGACGAAACAUUUAGCUGCUCUUUCUAUUGCAGUGAAUAGAAGGGAUACAAUUGUGUGCAAUGUUCAGUUGAAACCAGCUGCCCAUUGUUUGCAAAAAUGUGUAGAAUCUUUAGAAAAACAAUUAGACGAGUUUGAGCAAAAGAUUGUUAGAAAAAACAGGAAGAUAUGGUACAAACAAAUUCUCAUUCCUAUUAUAAUUCCAUCACUUGUGUUUGCCUCUUUCAAAGCCUAUAGAAUUAUUCUAAAACUGAUGUAAUAAAUUGAUUUUGCAAAAAA
Molecule: RNA transcript, 632 nt
Organism: Tribolium castaneum (red flour beetle)
Lineage: Eukaryota; Metazoa; Arthropoda; Insecta; Coleoptera; Tenebrionidae
Exons: 3
Source: RefSeq, a predicted model, not a curated record